This is a non-coding RNA of Sodiomyces alkalinus F11, 74 nucleotides long. Lineage: Eukaryota; Fungi; Ascomycota; Sordariomycetes; Glomerellales; Plectosphaerellaceae. The record is from the annotation of a RefSeq genome assembly.
UCCUCCGUGGCGCAAUUGGCUAGCGCGUUCGACUGUUAAUCGAGAGGUUGGUGGUUCGAGCCCACCCGGGGGAG